Homo sapiens (human) is the source of this 859-nucleotide long non-coding RNA. RefSeq lists it as uncharacterized. NCBI's taxonomy places the organism in Eukaryota, Metazoa, Chordata, Mammalia, Primates, Hominidae. The record is from RefSeq and is a predicted model, not a curated record. The transcript is spliced from 5 exons.
AAGGUGAUACAAGCUCAGUGAUACAGUUUUAGCUAAACUCCGAAAAUUUCUUUAAUGUACGUUCCAUCUUCCCAUAAGCACGGCGACCCCACAAGGAGAAAUUCAUUAUCCUUGUUCUAGAAGAGGCUUUCAUCAUUUUUUUUGCCACUACCUUUAAAAUCAGCACUUAGCUAUUCACCCCAAAUCUACCGAUUCCCACCCAUCCUUCACAUGGAUGCUGCAUUUAUGAACAAGUCUGGUCCAGCUACUUCCACAUUUCAACAGGACAAAUUCUAAACCAUCAGAGUAAUUUUCCAAUCAGAACAAAUACUAACAAGGAAGUGACACACAGCAGUCCGUCCUCUGCUUCCUAACAGGACUCUAUGAGAACAUGGUGAUGUCCUACCACAAAGAAAGCAACACCUGAUUAUCAAUAACUUCUCUGGUCCGGCCAAGGAUGAGCAAGGAACAAAGAGCUUUUAGAACAUUAAGCAUACAUCUAAAUUUAUUUGACCUGAGGAUCCAGCCUGGCCUCUCAAGAGCAGACGCUCACAUGAUAAAACGUGCUGGGAACUCACCAUGUACUCAGCAAAGGGAAGCAAAGGGGUAUUAAUCAAUGUUUUGAUUAAUUACACGUACAUAGAAUUUAAGACAAAGUAAAGGCUCUUCCAUCCCCGCAAGUCCCCAGAGAAAAUUUAUAACAGCAAAGUAUCAUCAUUACUAAAUUAGAGCGUGACCAGAGGGGGAAAAAAAGUUGGCUGAAUGGACCAGCAGGUGAGAUGAAGAGUUGAUUGUCUUCAAACGUAAAAUAUCUCAAGCAAGAAAAGAAGAAAAAAGUCUCUUCAAUAAAUGUUGGCAAUAUUUUCGAGAUUUUUUUCUU